UCAGUGGCCGAUAUAUGGUACUGUUUCUCCCAUAGCCAAGAUUCAGGAGUCCAGGAAUCAAGGGGUGGAAAUGGAAGUGGCACGACUCACCAACACCCCUAGAGAUCCACUGGCAAAAUUUUUGCUUCCUGUUCCCAUGACAUUAUAUUUUGCUGGCCUAAAGGUCUUAGUUCCAGAGGGAGAAACACUGCCGCCAGGAGACACAACAACGAUUCCAUUCAAUUAGAAGUUAAGAUUGCCACUUGGACACUUUGGGCUUCUCCUACCUUGAAGUCAACAGGCUAAGAAGAGAGUUACUUGGCUGGGGCGAUUGACCCAGAUUAUCAAGAUGAAAUCAGUCUACUACUCCACAACUGAGACAAGUAAAUAGGAAACUCACAAUUUUUCCAGCAAAACUUGUAUGUGAAAAUAUAAGCAAAAUGAUAAAUGUGACUGGCCGACAAGCAAAAAACAUUGUUUACCAUCAAACAGCACCAAAACUUCUGGCUGUGUUAUUACCAAUUUGAAUGGACCUUUGCCGAAAGUCCCUGAAGCCAAGCCACACUGCUAACUGAUGAGAGACCAGCUUGAAAGAGGGAGGACCUGCCAAUUGCCAUCAGCACAACUCCAGAUAUAUGGGAGUCAGGUGAUCAUAAACCAUCCAUUUUCUGCUGAGUCACAGUAGACUGCAACUCCAUGAAUGAGACAAGGAGGUGUCGGUAAAAACAAAACAAAACAAAACAAAGCAAAAACUGCCUGGUGUAACCACAGAAUCUUAAGAAAUAAUAAAUGAUUUUAAUCCAA
RNAcentral lists this long non-coding RNA (783 nucleotides) under Homo sapiens (human). RNAcentral describes it as "HSALNT0318975". The record is from RNAcentral. Lineage: Eukaryota; Metazoa; Chordata; Mammalia; Primates; Hominidae.